UAGCUCAGUUGGUAGAGCAUGGCACUUGCAGUGCCAGGGUUGUCGGUUUGAUUCCCAC
Non-coding RNA from Salmo salar (Atlantic salmon), 58 nucleotides. NCBI's taxonomy places the organism in Eukaryota, Metazoa, Chordata, Actinopteri, Salmoniformes, Salmonidae. The record is from Rfam.